GAGUGCACGAAUCAGCUCAAUACCUACGUCCGUUGCUUUCUUUGUUCAUGUUGUAGCGGCACACUUGUACACACAAAGAAGAAAAGGAGCGGGUGAAGAGGACUUUGUUUUUGCUGUAGCGGCCUCGCUCCAUCCAGUGCUUUAGUGCCGAGCCUUCUAUAUAGACGUCUCCCGCAUUGUAACAAUAUGUCAUGCGCGCAACUUUGCAUCAAUGGUCGACAUUGUCAUAACACAAAUACGGUAUAUUACACAGCUUCUGCUCAUCUUAGUUGUGCCCGUCAAAAUAUAGCCCAUCUCUGCACCGUUGACAACAAUUAGCUGCAAGUGCUGAUUGCUGCUGGUUGGCUCAGUCCAGAAUCAGUUGGCAUAUCGAUGAAGUGCA
RNAcentral lists this long non-coding RNA (382 nucleotides) under Dermacentor andersoni. RNAcentral describes it as "uncharacterized LOC126538781". Lineage: Eukaryota; Metazoa; Arthropoda; Arachnida; Ixodida; Ixodidae. The record is from RNAcentral.